RNAcentral lists this ribosomal RNA (253 nucleotides) under uncultured bacterium. RNAcentral's name for it is "partial 16S ribosomal RNA". It matches the Rfam family "Bacterial small subunit ribosomal RNA", at positions 524 to 776 of the family's 1533-position model. The record is from RNAcentral.
UACGUAGGGGGCAAGCGUUGUCCGGAAUCAUUGGGCGUAAAGCGCGUGUAGGCGGCCCGGCAAGUCCGCUGUGAAAGUCCAGGGCUCAACCCUGGAAUGCCGGUGGAUACUGUCGGGCUCGAGUCCGGAAGAGGCGAGUGGAAUUCCUGGUGUAGCGGUGAAAUGCGCAGAUAUCAGGAGGAACACCGAUGGCGAAGGCAGCUCGCUGGGACGGUACUGACGCUGAGACGCGAAAGCGUGGGGAGCAAACAGG